This 323-nucleotide ribosomal RNA is filed under the name uncultured Pseudomonadota bacterium. RNAcentral's name for it is "bacterial SSU rRNA". It matches the Rfam family "Bacterial small subunit ribosomal RNA", at positions 30 to 351 of the family's 1533-position model. Lineage: Bacteria; Pseudomonadati; Pseudomonadota. The record is from RNAcentral.
AUUGAACGCUGGCGGCACGCCUAACACAUGCAAGUCGAGCGGUAGCAUGGGUAGUAGCAAUACUACCUGAUGACGAGCGGCGGACGGGUGAGGAACACGUAGGAACCUGCCCUCAAGCGGGGGAUAACCAAGGGAAACUUUGGCUAAUACCGCAUGAACUCGAAGAGAAAGCUGCCCGCAAGGGUGGCACUUGAGGAGGGGCCUGCGUCCGAUUAGCUAGUUGGUAGGGUAAAAGCCUACCAAGGCGAUGAUCGGUAACUGGUCUGAGAGGACGACCAGUCACACUGGGACUGAGACACGGCCCAGACUCCUACGGGAGGCAG